Molecule: ribosomal RNA, 253 nt
Filed under: uncultured bacterium
Lineage: Bacteria
Description: partial 16S ribosomal RNA
Rfam family: Bacterial small subunit ribosomal RNA
Source: RNAcentral
UACGUAGGGUGCGAGCGUUAAUCGGAAUUACUGGGCGUAAAGCGUGCGUAGUCGGCCAUUCAAGUCGGGUGUGAAAGCCCCGGGCUCAACCUGGGAAUUGCAUUCGAUACUGUGUGGCUAGAGUUCGGCAGAGGGAAGUGGAAUUUCUGGUGUAGCGGUGAAAUGCGUAGAUAUCAGAAGGAACAUCAGUGGCGAAAGCGACUUCCUGGACCAGAACUGACGAUCAGGCACGAAAGCGUGGGGAGCAAACAGG